RNAcentral lists this long non-coding RNA (913 nucleotides) under Gossypium barbadense (sea-island cotton). RNAcentral describes it as "long non-coding RNA (GBAR_LNC021986)". Lineage: Eukaryota; Viridiplantae; Streptophyta; Magnoliopsida; Malvales; Malvaceae. The record is from RNAcentral.
GUCCAUGGAAAAGCUAAGCUUGGAAGAAAAAGAAGCCCAUAAGAAGAUUGUUGAAGAAAUUGGAAGGGCUAACGAAGAACGCCGUCCUUGCCUUACUUGUCUUGUAUCACCAAGUCUUAAAUUUUACCUUACUGAAAACGAAAAGGAAGAUGAUUGUUCUAGUGAGUUGUUGAUCUCAACUCUUGAUGAAUGAAUUUUUUUAAAUCAAUCUUUAUAAACAAAGCUGUAAAACUUACUGGUUUUCAUGUAUGCAGGCAAAGAUGAUUUGCUGAUCAAAGGGUCGUUGAGCGAUACCGAUAUCGAUGCUGCCAAAGAGAUUAUCGAUGCUGCCAAAGAGAUUUUUGAAUCUGAAUCAUCCACUGAGGUAAUUCAAUCAAAACGAAGGGCAUCAAAUUUCUCUACAUGCACUAAUUAUGGGUUUUUAUUGUUCUUACAGGAACCGAGCAGCUAGUUAAAGAGGAGAGGAAGAAGAAAGAUGAGAUUUAGAAGGGUGAUACCUACGGGAAAACCCGUAAAGAACUUUCUCAAAGUUAAAUCAUGUUAUUACCCAUCUUGUGGCGACCAGAAGUUAAACCGACAUUACUCAAAAUCCAGCAGCAAUGUUAAAUCAUAAAUGUAAAUGAAACGAGCUCAUUGCAUUUUCUUUUUUUCGUCUUUCAUUCUCUUCUAUCCUUGGUUACGACUUCUGUAAUUGUACCCGAUAGGAACUGUACGAAAUUAAAUGAACCAAAUGUCAUAUAGAUUAUAGAAUAUGAUAGCUAAAUGCAAUGAAGGGAAAAUGUUUGAAUAAUUCAAUGCCUCAAAGUCUUGAAUUCCAAUCCUGAUUAGAUCCACCUAGAUCUCACCGGUUGCUCACAGGUGCCCAGUAAUUCCGGAAACACAAAAGAACAGGGAAGCUUGGUAAUCCCACAGA